Molecule: long non-coding RNA, 2204 nt
Filed under: Pongo abelii (Sumatran orangutan)
Lineage: Eukaryota; Metazoa; Chordata; Mammalia; Primates; Hominidae
Description: lincRNA
Source: RNAcentral
UUCUUCUGCUUCACCCCAUUCUUGGUCCCUGAGCCAGUUCUGUCAUUGGUUCUUUCAGACCAGAGCACGAAAAGUCAAGAAAGCAAAAGCAGAUUCUAGGCCAUGGGGUUUGCUGUUUGCUAGCCCCCUGGCAGAGAUGCCUGUCCUUGCAGUCCUGAACUGGUGGCCAAGUGUGUGUGCAUGCAUGUGCAGGUGUGUGCACGUGCAGGUGUGCAUGCAUGUAUGUGCGCACACACAUUCAUGCUUGUACAUGUUUGUGUACAUGCACACUUUUUUCUGCUUUCAAUUUCAAGCUGCUGCCUCCCUGAUGUGUCUGUUUAGUGACUUCAGCCAGAAAGAUCACCAGUUCUAUGUGGGAUGAGAAUAAACGCAGGUAGGUCUCCACAGAAGUGAGUAAAGUGGAGCUGAGAAGAAGGACAUUGUCUCAUGCCAGCCUGUCCAAUAGCCACUUUGCCCCAGCCCUGACUCAAGCCUCAGAGAGAUGACAAGGCUGUCUCUGUUUGUUGACUCCCAGAAGCUCAGAAAGGUGGGUCAAGAGGUGCCCAUGAAGCCUUUAGGCAAGCACAGGACCCUGAUCUUUACUAAGUCUCCACAUCUCUUUUGCACAGCCCUGGGCUCAGGGCUUGGUCCCCUCUGGGCAGGCCAUCCAGACUAAGUGACAGUUAGAUUGUGUGUGGGGAGGCUGGAGACAUCCAUUCUUCAUGGAUCAGCCUGAAUGGCUGGACAGAUCUUGCAAAUGGAUUGUAUAAGACAGAGUAUGGAAGGGGAGGCUGUGAUCAGUGGCUUGGAGAGCAGAGUGUGGUCAGGUGCUAAACCUAAGGCUUUUCUGGGAAGAGCUCUUAAGAUUAGACUGUUCUCCCAAAAAGCCAAUAAUUCUGAGUGUCUCCAUUAAUGCCUAAGUAGCCCACACUCUCACCCAGCCAGUGCCCUUCAGCCUGGAACCUUUGGAUGGAGGAUUGGACCUUGUGACCUUCAAGUUCCCUUCCAAACCAAAUAUGCUCUAACCCAGGAGAUGGUGCUGUAGCCCAGGAAGCCGGUCACCAUGACGAGAGUACCUGCCCAGAUGAGGAUGCAGGUGGAGGCAGUGAAGGUGCUGGAGGCCAGGAUGCUGAGGUAGCCACUCCUCUCCACCAGGGUCCAGAUACCCAUGGCCAGGACAGCUGCCCCCCUGACCUGCAGGAGACCACCAGGUUGGAGCAGGGGGUGGCGGGGGCCUCAGGAGCUGCCAUUCCUUGAGUGCCUGCUGGGUACCAGGCACUUCUCGUGCGUUGUCUUAUUCAAUUCAGGCCUCCUAAGAGCCUGUGAGAACAGUGUGGUGGCCUAGCUUUAUAGAUGAGGAAAUGGAGGCUGAGAGAGGUUUGCAGGCUUGUCCAAGGUCACACAUGUAAGCGAGCUGCAGAUUUUGAAUCUGGGUCUGACUUCUGAUUCUGUGCAUCUUACUAUGGUUCCUACUGCAUAUGAGGCGGGGAGAAAUGACUUCAGUUUUGGGGAUGACCAAUAUACCUGAGUCCUUUCGCCUCCCCUCCCCUCAGAGCGCUCCCUCCCUCUGUCCACAUUUCCCUGAUGGAUGUGGAGGUGCCCUUUUGAGCACCGCCCCUUGUUCAAUCCUUAUGUUUGCCCAUUGGGGAAGCACGGCUGGGCCCCUUAUCCCUCCCUGUUCUACAGAGGAAGGAACUGAGGCCCAUGGAGAAAAGGUAAAUGGCCUGAGUUAGGGGCAGGGCCAGGACCAGGACUCAGAGCCCAGGGUGUGCUCGCUCAGUCUCGCUGCCUCCAUGGUGGAAGGGCCACUGUGCUGGACAAGUUGGAGCUCCCUGGGACCACAGAAGGAGGGAGGAGAGACUUCUUUGCUGUCUGAUUCCCUUUCAGUCCUGAGAGGGGGCAGGGACGGGAUGCUGCUGAUUUGCAGGUCUGGGGGAUGCCUUCUUAGUAACAGAGUAUCUGGGAAAUGUAGCUGGGGUGGUGGGGCUUGCCUGUUCUUUCCUGCGAUGAAGCUGAGUAGCCCUUUUAGUGACUUAUCCUCAGCAGGGGAUAGUGCGUGGGUGCAAGUGUCCCCAAGGUGCCAGAUGGGGGCUGUUUGGAGUGUUUUCCCAGGAUUUGGGUCCUCUGGGACCUCUGACCAUCUCUGUCAUUUGCUCCUGGGAAGCUGGAUUUCUGUCUCCCAGUCUCUGCCCGCCAUGUAGGGAUGGGUCCAUUUCCUCUGAUGG